GACGAACGCUGGCGGCGUGCUUAACACAUGCAAGUCGAGCGGUAAGGCCCUUCGGGGUACACGAGCGGCGAACGGGUGAGUAACACGUGGGUGACCUGCCCUCAGCUCUGGGAUAAGCCUGGGAAACCGGGUCUAAUACCGGAUAUGACUCCAUGACGCAUGUUGUGGGGUGGAAAGCCUUGUGCGGCUGAGGAUGGGCCCGCGGCCUAUCAGCUUGUUGGUGGGGUGAUGGCCUACCAAGGCGACGACGGGUAGCCGGCCUGAGAGGGCGACCGGCCACACUGGGACUGAGACACGGCCCAGACUCCUACGGGAGGCAGCAGUGGGGAAUCUUGCGCAAGUGGGCGAAAGCCUGACGCAGCGACGCCGCGUGAGGAUGAC
RNAcentral lists this ribosomal RNA (381 nucleotides) under uncultured bacterium. Its description in RNAcentral is "bacterial SSU rRNA". It matches the Rfam family "Bacterial small subunit ribosomal RNA", at positions 28 to 412 of the family's 1533-position model. The record is from RNAcentral.